GACGAACGCUGGCGGCGUGCUUAACACAUGCAAGUCGAACGGAAAGGCCCUGCUUUUGUGGGGUGCUCGAGUGGCGAACGGGUGAGUAACACGUGAGUAACCUGCCCUUUACUUUGGGAUAACUUCAGGAAACUGGGGCUAAUACCGGAUAGGAGCUCCUGCUGCAUGGUGGGGGUUGGAAAGUUUCGGCGGUUGGGGAUGGACUCGCGGCUUAUCAGCUUGUUGGUGGGGUAGUGGCUUACCAAGGCUUUGACGGGUAGCCGGCCUGAGAGGGUGACCGGCCACAUUGGGACUGAGAUACGGCCCAGACUCCUACGGGAGGCAGCAGUGGGGAAUAUUGCACGAUGGGCGGAAGCCUGAUGCAGCAACGCCGCGUGCGGGAUGACGGCCUUCGGGUUGUAAACCGCUUUCGCCUGUGACGAAGCGUGAGUGACGGUAAUGGGUAAAGAAGCACCGGCUAACUACGUG
Molecule: ribosomal RNA, 468 nt
Filed under: uncultured bacterium
Lineage: Bacteria
Description: partial 16S ribosomal RNA
Rfam family: Bacterial small subunit ribosomal RNA
Source: RNAcentral